This is a long non-coding RNA of Suricata suricatta (meerkat), 982 nucleotides long. RefSeq lists it as uncharacterized. Lineage: Eukaryota; Metazoa; Chordata; Mammalia; Carnivora; Herpestidae. The record is from RefSeq and is a predicted model, not a curated record. The transcript is spliced from 2 exons.
ACCCUCCAGCCCUGCGGCUGAAGGCACAGCCAAGAUUCGCAGUGGUGCCUUGAGAUGGGAGAGCAGAGCUAUUGGGCUAUACCUCCCUCCUCCCCGCGCCAAGCAGCUCAAGUCACUGUGCGAGCAGGAAACACAAGAAACGCAAGCAGAACGCUUCCUCAAGGGAGCUCCGGCCUUCAAAUCCUCCGGGUCCUGUGGCUGAGCUGACCCCGCGCUGCUGGGGCAGAGGGAAGGCCUGAGGACAGCCGGUGGUGCGUCCAUCGGGAGCCCUGCACCCCACGGUCGUGCGCUCGCUCUGCGGAACACGUCCUCUUCCUGGACCUUCGUCACCCUAAAGAGGGCCUCCAUCCAGCGCGCACAUGUCAGAGCCCUCGCUGCCAGCCCAUGGGCCCCGCCAGGCAGCCCUGCUGACAGUCACGGAGGCCCUGCCAGGAAAAUGUCAAUGGGCGACAUUGCUCCUGGCAACCAGAGCUCACUCUUCUGAAGCCGCUGCCAUCAGAGGCGAUUUGCCUCCCGGAUGAAGGUGCUGUCUGGAUGAGAGGGACACGGAGCAGCUCCCUUCAGAGUGACACGCCACGGUGACAGGGCAACAGCGGGAUGACUGCAUGCACCUGUAGCAGCGUGGAAGGCGUGUGCAUAGAUCGUGGAGAAGGGGAUGCUGUCCAAUCUGAACCAUCCAGUCAUCCUGGAGUAUUUGGGGAAAAUUAUUUUCUUGAAGACCAGAUAAGGGAUAGGCAUGAGAGGCCACUCCUUCACUCGGCUCGUGAUGACUCCUAUGGCAGAGACAAAUCAGCUCGAAAUAAAAGUGACAGUGGCUAAAACGUACACGGUGAAGCUGUCAGAAGAAUUGAAAUUUCUUGGCAGACCCAAGUCUGUAAAGAUGAUCUGGAAAAUAUUGAAAUUGAAAAAUAUGGUAACUGCAAAUAGAAAGCAUAUACUGGUAAAAGCUAAAGUUAGUAAAAUAUAUGGAGAAAAAUACUGA